RNAcentral lists this transfer RNA (73 nucleotides) under Ailuropoda melanoleuca (giant panda). It matches the Rfam family "tRNA". Rfam says of the family: Transfer RNA (tRNA) molecules are approximately 80 nucleotides in length. Their secondary structure includes four short double-helical elements and three loops (D, anti-codon, and T loops). RNAcentral also lists the same sequence under 1 other name. Lineage: Eukaryota; Metazoa; Chordata; Mammalia; Carnivora; Ursidae. The record is from Rfam by way of RNAcentral.
ACCUGGCUGGCUCAGUCAGUGGAGUGUGUGACUCUUGAUCUUGCAGUUGUGGGUUUGAACCCCAUGUUGGGUG